This 4294-nucleotide long non-coding RNA is filed under the name Carica papaya (papaya). Its description in RNAcentral is "long non-coding RNA (CPAP_LNC010353)". The record is from RNAcentral. Lineage: Eukaryota; Viridiplantae; Streptophyta; Magnoliopsida; Brassicales; Caricaceae.
UCGUUCAGUACCUAUACACAUUAAAAAAGAAGGUUUGAAUUGAGAGACUACACACCUCAGCUCGAUGCAUUCAUAUUCAUAGAAAGGUUGGUAAAGUUUUUACCAUGCGAUCCAUUAAUGUAUCACUCAAAUCUGCACCUGUCAUAACAUAUAAUCAAAAUGAUUAUGCUCGUGAAUGGAAAUUUUAUGUAUGCAUUACGAAUUCAAUUUGAAUUAUAACAAAAUGUCAGAUUUGCUAGAACUGGAUUCAAUUCAAAAUGGCGCCAUAAUUCUUCCCUUGCUUUUAUUGCAUUUACAAUUGUUUUUUUUUUUUCUCUUUAGAACAAAAUUUAUGUAUUUUGCAUUUUUGUUAUAUUUUUAAAGAAUAUUUUAAUUUCACUUUUAGAGAGUGUUGUUAUAUCUAAAAUUUUAAGAAAAAAUGAAAUAAAAAGCCACAUUGUUUUUCUUCACCCAAUUUGUCUCAGUUCUGUUUCUUGUUUUUCUUUCUUAAUUCUUUUUAUCAAACUGGGCUAGAGAAGUUACUCUUUAUUCUAUUUUUCUGGCCAGGACCGGAAGCCGGAUAACAACUGGAUGUUCAAUCCGGACAGAAUUAGGAACAGUCUGGUUUUCGGUCCGAAUUCUGGGUCAAAAUUUUCAGUCGAGUCUGGUCUGAACCAAAAAAAAAAAAAAAAACACUCACUCACGUGACUAACAGUUCGUGUACACCUGACCCCCAACACACACACACCCUAAGCAGCACCCUCUCACACACUGUCUCUCACUCACCAACAAAAGUUAUCAUCGUCCUCUGUCUUCUCUUCAUGCAGCCACCAGGCCCCCACCCCACCAGUCCACCACACGUCCACAGCAGCCCUGGUCGCCUGGUCCACUCGUGCUCGCGGUUAGCACUCCACGCGGCACGCCUCGCCUCGGCACGUCACCUGACCACCACGACCACGCAAGUCGCACCACGCGUCCAGACCAUGCUCUCCACGCACCACGUGGCCACGCCUGGCCCUACACGCCACGACGCACCAACAUAACGUGUUACACGCCUAGGCUCCAGACUCUCCCUCCCCACGCACCACGUGGCCACGCUUGCGCCCGCACGCCACCACGCACCAGCAGCCGCAGGUCUUCAUCUUCUGUUCUUAAAACUUUUUUUUUUAAUUUUAAAAUUGGGAAAAAUUCGGUCCCGCAUUCGGUCAGGACCGGUCGGGUUCGGUAGCAGGGCUAGUCUUGGGUGCAUAGUGAGUUUUACAAAUUGGAAUUUGCUUAUUGAAGCUUGGGAGAUUUAAAAAGCAAUAAGGCACUCUUAUGACAUUGUUUCUGGAUUUUGCUGUUGUUUGUUGACGAACUUUCUAGAAUAAUUGAAAUAUAUCCCAAGAAAUAGAAUGCUUAUUUAUAGAGAGCAAUAGGAAUUUUCUUUGCGUUUAUGUCAAAGUAGUUUCACAUGAAUCAUGCUAUCUUCAAAACCCCAUAAGCAAAGUCAUGCUUUCUUGCGAACAAAAAAGUGACUUUUGGAUUGGAAGAAGAAACCGUAGGAUAAAUGACAAUUUGAUAGGUCUUUUCCACGCUUUCAGUUUCAGUUAAUAAGGAGUGCAGGUGUCAAAUCCUGGAGGCCGUAGACAUUCUGGUUAGCAGCUUGGUAAAGGUAGACUGUUAGAGAAUUAAUGUAGAAAAUUUAUUAUCUUUGUUGUUAGCAGUAAGUUAGUAGAGUAAUUUUCCCUGGUUGGAAUUAGUUGGUUGUUAGAGAGUAAGUUAGUGAAGUAAUUUUCUCUUGUUGGUAGUUAUAAAUUUGUGUAUUUAAGGCUGGUUUAUGGUUGAGUACAGAUAGAUUUUGCAAUUUAUUUUUCCCGCAUAUAAAGUCUUUGAUAGAAGUUCUCAGAGAUUUUAUUUUUUAGCAAUCUCACUUUUUGUUCUCAGUUAUUUUGUUCUAACAGCCCCUAUCAUUGACAUUUGGUAUCAAUGUCUACUUGACACUUUCAGAUGGCCAACAAUCACGUUGGAGUAAAUCUCGCACAAUCAUUAAUUCCGAAUUUUCAAGAUAACAACUAUGAUAAAUAGAGUACUAAGAUGAAGACUGUUUAUUCUCGAGAUUUAUGGGAUUUAGUAGAGAAUAGUUAUAAUGAAGAUGGAGAAGCAACUGAUAAUGUCAAUGAUCUUCGAAAAAAAGAUGCUAAGGCCUUGUUUCUGUUGAAAAUACUUUUUACAGCAAGAUGUAGCUAUCACAAAGCGGGAGAACAAGGCCUUAGCAUCUUUCUUUCAAAGAUCUCUUACAUUAUCGGCUGCCUCUCCAUCUUCGUUACAAUCAUUCCUUAUCUCAAAUCCCAUAAAUCUUGAGAAAUAAACAAGAGUUUUCAUCUUGGUACUCCAUAUAUCAUAGUUGUUGCCUUGAACAAUUGGAAUUGAUGGUUGUACAAAAUUUACUACAGCAUGAUUAUUGGUCAUCUGGAACUGUCAAGCAAACUCUAAUACCAGAUGUUAAUAACAAGGACUAGUAGAACAAAAUAACUUACAACAAAAAAUGAGAUUGCUGGAAAAUAAAAUUUAUGAGCACUUUUAUCAAAUACUUUGUAUGCAGAAAAAAUGUGAAACAAAAGUAUUCAACCAUAAACCAGCCUUAAAUACACAAAUUUGUAAUUACCAACAAGAGAAAAUUGUUCCACUAACAACCAACUAAUUCCAAGAAGAGAAAAUUACUCCACUACCAACUAAUUAAAUAGUUCAAAGAUAAUUAAUUUUCUAACAUAGACAACUGCUAGCAACUUGAGAGUUGAUCCAAAGAGCAUUUGCAAAGGUUUCAGAUAUAAGUUGCAAAUUUUACAGAAGGGUGUUCUCAUUUUGAUGCAUGUGAAUUAGGAAUAACAGGGACACUUUUGUUAAUAGUUAAAAGAGGCUUAAAUCUGUAAAUGAAUUAUAAAUACGUUUUUGAAACAAGUAUAGCAGUCUAUAAAUGAAUUAUAAAUAGGUCUCUUGUAUUGAUCAAGGGCAUAAAAAGAUUUAUCACAUUUGGACUUUUUCUCUCAGUUCUCUAUCUUCUUGUUUCCUCUCUCUGGUUUUUCCUGUGUCUUCUAUCUUUCUUCAUCUCCGUAAUUCUACAUAAGCAUAGUACUCAACUUUGUACUGUAAUAACCUGAAGUGGAUGUGCAUAUAACAGAGGGUAAGGGAUUUUCAUGUUUGUUGAUAUUAAUGGAAAUAUCUUUUUUAAUACCCAGUUUCUAUGUAAAAGUAACAGGCUCUAGGGCCAAAUACAUGAUUUUUACUUGCAACUACAAAUAAUGUUAAAACAGUUUUACUUUUCUCAAAAGGAGAUGAAAAAAAAAACUAGUUCUUGUUUGGUUCACUUCCUGUUUCAUUCUCCUUGUUCAUACCUCUAAUCUCCAUAUUAAUCUUCUUUUUAAAAAAUAAUAAUCCCCAUAUUAGUCUUGACAGAAAAUUAUGUAUGAUUUUUAUCUCAAAUUUUACUCCAUCUCUGCCUUAAAGUUUCUCUUACAAAUAAAAGUGGGAAUUGAAUUCCUACAAUGGUUUAUUUUAAGACCAAUUUGAAAUUAAGAGAUGAAACUUAAAUGAGAAACGAAUCAAAUAGGCCCUAAGAGUUUUCUUAGUUGGGUAUCUGUGGUUUGUGUGAAAGAUCGGAUAGUUGUCAAAGUAAACACUCAUGCAAGUAUCUUUGGUUUAAUGGCUUAAGCCUUGUGGUUUUUCUUUCCCCUUGUCAACCUAUUUGUUACUACAUUUCUCAUUUUAUGGAGGCCAAAUCAGAGAAUAGAAUGGUGGUAGGUGACAGUAAGUGUCAAUGAUGAUUAUUUGUGCUUCUUCAAGUAUGAGUUUCAGUAACAGCAAGGCUAAAAAGAGAUGAAUGUGUGUUUCCUAUUUGUGCUUAAGGAAAGAAAUGUAUCUCUACUUAGCAAUUUUCCUGUAGCCGGCAGUACAAGCCAUGUAUCAACUCUUAGUAGAAUUCGUUUUCCAAAUCCAGGAUUUUCAGCUUAACAGUUGGAGAAUUCGACUUAUUUAGAGAUCAUGUUCUCAGGAUAUGGUUUAGAUCCUAAGGACUCAAUGAUUUCUGCUGGUGAGGAAGGACUUAAAUUGGUAGCAUCCAUGGACCAUGAAAGAAUUAGAUAACCAGAUGCCUCUGCAGGGCAAGCUUCUAACUUCCCCAAGAAGAUUUAGUUGUGGUCUUGCCUGAGUUUUCUCUCGCUGAAGAAGAAAAUCAGCUAUUCAAAGUUUCCCUAAAGCGUGUAAUAGAAAUUUUCAAUUAUCUAGUGGCACUGAUCCUUCUAAAUCCAUAUUAAAGGAAACUAGGGAAUCGGAGAAC